GACGAACGCUGGCGGCGUGCUUAACACAUGCAAGUCGAACGGUGAAGCGCCUUCCUUUUUGGUGGGUGUGGAUGAGUGGCGAACGGGUGAGUAACACGUGAGUAACCUGCCCCCUUCUUCUGGAUAACCGCAUGAAAGUGUGGCUAAUACUGGAUAUUCUGGGUCUGUCGCAUGAUGGGUCUGUGAAAGAUAUUGUUUCGGUGGGGGAUGGGCUCGCGGCCUAUCAGCUUGUUGGUGGGGUGAUGGCCUACCAAGGCGGUGACGGGUAGCCGGCCUGAGAGGGUGGACGGGCACACUGGGACGGAGACACGGACCAGACUCCUACGGGAGGCAGCAGUGGGGAAUAUUGCACAAUGGGCGCAAGCCUGAUGCAGCGACGCCGCGUGAGGGAUGGAGGCCUUCGGGUUGUGAACCUCUUUCGCCAGUGAAGCAGGCCUGCCUCGUUUGUGGGUGGGUUGACGGUAGCUGGAGAAGAAGCGCCGGCUAACUACGUG
RNAcentral lists this ribosomal RNA (494 nucleotides) under uncultured bacterium. Its description in RNAcentral is "partial 16S ribosomal RNA". It matches the Rfam family "Bacterial small subunit ribosomal RNA", at positions 28 to 507 of the family's 1533-position model. The record is from RNAcentral.